CAUGAGACUGCAUCCAGAGGGCCAGGACGGGCAGUGGAGAAGAUCAGGCAAGAUAGUAAUUUUAAGAGCCUGGAUGAACCCAAAGCUCUCUUGUAGAGGUCUGUGUAAGAACAGGCCCAUCUCAUGUUAUUGCACUCAGGAAGUGUGAGCUGUGUCUCAUGUUUGACAGGUGCAUCCUGACAGCCCCCCACCUGCAAGACACUAUCCUAGGAAUGACAUCAGGGUGCCAAGAAGUCAGUUACUCAGACAUGCAGAGGCAAAAGGCUCCCCACAGAGGAAGAAGUGAUAGAGACCUAUGGAGGGUACUUGGUUACAGCAGUCCUAGGAACUACUACACCUGCUAAUGUCCACCUGUUCUUCAAGUCUAGAGUGAUUUCAUGGAGAAAGUCUCCCAAGUCCUUUGCCUGGAUGCAACCCCUUGUUAGGUGAAGUCCCUCCUCUGGGUACCCUGCUGCCCUGUGUACACCUCCAUGCAAGAAUCUCCCCAGGCCCCACUGGGCAAGUGUGAAUUAUUCUGUGGGAACCCUCAUUUCUUUAGGCUGCUCUCUGUCAGUGAUGUUGGGCAGAAUUCAUAAGACUGUGUGUUAGUCAGUUUUCAAUUACUAUGAUAAAAUACCUGAGAUAAAACUUGUAAGAGGAAAGGUUUAUUUGGGCUCACAGUUUCCGAGGUCUCAGUUCCCAGUUGAUUCAUCUGAUAUCUUUGGGCCUGUAGUGAGAUGGCACAUCAUGGAGGGAACAUGGGAUGAAGAAAGCUGCUCACCUUAUGGCAGGGCAGUGGAGAAGGGAAAGAGAGAGGAAGGGGCUGGGUCCCAAUGGCCCCUUUAAGGGCCCACCCCAAGACCUAACUUCCUCUCACUAGGCCCCACCUCUUAAAGGCUCCACCACCUCCAAGAGCAAGCACAACAGACCAGGGACCACAGCUUCAACAGGUGAGCCGUGGGGACUCUUAUCCAAACCAAGGCAGAGCCCCUUCACAGAGAUGCCCUCACAGGUGUGGGACAGAGGACGCGUGGCCCUCUUCAUGCUGCAGGGCCUGCUGUCUGGGGCCGGACACCCACCCCCAGCGUCUCCUUGGCUGGUAGCCUCCGUUUAUGCUCCAGGCAGCUCCCCCUUUCUGUGGGCAGCUGUUCCUUCAGCCAGGGGCCUUUCCCUCUCUGUGGUCUUGGGGCUGAGCCCCCAGGUCUCGG
RNAcentral lists this long non-coding RNA (1187 nucleotides) under Marmota monax (woodchuck). The record is from RNAcentral. Lineage: Eukaryota; Metazoa; Chordata; Mammalia; Rodentia; Sciuridae.